Molecule: long non-coding RNA, 1244 nt
Organism: Lycium barbarum (goji berry)
Lineage: Eukaryota; Viridiplantae; Streptophyta; Magnoliopsida; Solanales; Solanaceae
Exons: 3
Source: RefSeq, a predicted model, not a curated record
AAUAUAUUGAACUAAAACUAAUGAAACAUACGGUUACAACCAUUUAGUCGACAUAGUAUUAAGCUGCAAACGUGCCUUUUCGGAUGCAUAUAACAUUAAGCUGCAAUUGUCUUUCCUUAUUCCAAGUUAAAAGUUUUAACUUCCCCACAUCUUUCCCUGCCUGUUUUCCUUUCUUUCUUUUUUGAGAAUACCUGCCCUGCUGCCUCUGCUCUCGUUCGGGCCCCGAGAAUCCCCGGAUCACUAUGGCCGACUUUCGUCUCUGUUCGACCAGUCGGUCUCACAGUCAGGCACCAGAAUGGAGUCCAAUAGAGUUCUGCCAAGCGGUUUUUGGGGAAGAAGCGGUGAAUGACCUAUCUUUAUUGAAGACAUCUAUUGUGUGGAAUGUCAAAAAGAUCGGUAAAGUCGAGAAGCAGAGAGAGGCCAAAGAUUAGCUCUAUCUCCUCUACCGAAUCUCCUGCGACUGGCUUGGCUCCCUCUUGCUCUGGUCUACACUCCUUCUGUAAAGAAAGGAGAAGAGAGAGGCGCGUCUUGAGCCACACCGUCCUCUAGCCCAGCCCCAAGUGACUGAACUUUCUCCAGGAGAGGCCGAGAGUGUGGCUGGUGGAUAUGAGAAAAGCAUCAAUCAUAUUAUAGUUGGUUUAAAAACUGUUUAAGGAACCAAAAAGUUGAAGCUUGAGCCUACUGUAUAUGAUGCCUUGAUUAAAGAAAAGGUAAGCGUUUGUGACAUACCUGUCAAUACAGGUAAUUUUCCCCUUCGAUAAGAAUGAUUAUGAAUAUUCUUCCCUUCGUAGCAUCAAAAUGUUACAUCUAAGUUGCACCAUUUCUUUAUGGUGUCAUUUUAUUUAAUCAUUCUCUGUCGCGUGUUCUAAGAAGGCUUUUUUUUUUUUUGUGAGAGAAAUGCACAUUUUCCAUAUUUUAAUGUGGCACAGUCUAUGUUUAUGAUGCUUUAAGUGCAAAUGCCUGAGAAGAUCAGUACAACACUCAAUGGUGGUGAUAUUAUGCUGGCUGUUUUCAAAAUUGGUGGGGUAAAGGUAACUUGCCUUAUUGAUUUCAUCAAGAAACUUCCAUCAACAUAGAUUCUUCACAUUGCUAAUUUUAUGUAAAAGUGCUCAGUGUAAUAUUUUUUUACUCCCAAAACACUUAUGAGAAUAUUUUGAUGUCUCUUCUUCCUUCUCUCAGAUUAUCUUCUUUAAUGGAAGUUGUAUUAUGUUUGCGCUAAAUAAGAAGAAAAAAACUUAGUUUUA